AGCCUCUCGAAGAAUCAUGAAGAUGGUCAAGCUACAGGAAUGUGCAGCCUGGUAUCACAGAUUAAACACAUCGUAUAAGUGCUAAUGUAGCUAGAUAAUUAUUUUAGACUUGAACCAUUUUUUGAUCAGGACAUAUAAUUUUAUGAAAUUUUAUCCUAAAUUCCAUUGGUUCUAUAUUUAUCCUAUUUAAAUCAUAGGGUUACAGUAUGAUGAUCAUAGAAUAAUAACAGCAAUAAAAAGUCAACUUCCAGGCAGAUAAUUAAUGUAAACACUAUGAAGUAUAUUAAUAUAAUACAAAUAAACACUUCUUAAAAUACCCUUUUACGUCCUGUCCAUUUCCCAUAUUCCAUUGUCCACCUCCAUAUCUAUGCCUCCAAAAGUCUCCAUAAAUGACUCCCUGAAACCUAUUCCAUGUGCCUCUCAUCUUUUUCCCCUCACUGCUGUUCCUCUUCACAAGUUAAAUUUUUCAUCAUUUUCCAUUAUGGAAAAAAGAACCAAUCUGGCAACUGACAAAAUCUUCUUUUGAAUGUUCCAAUCUCCCCUUCUUUCCAACUUGGAUAUAUGAGUGGGAUCUAAACUAAGAAGUGGGGUGUAGUAGUCACUAUUUAGAAAUACAGGAGACAGGGUUAUGAGAAAGGAAGAGUGGUAAGCACACUGUGUCCCUUCUCACUUCUGAGAUUAAGCUCUGUGAAUGAACAAAACAAAAUAUAUGCAAUUAGAUAGAACUACAAAGGGAGGCAGAAAGACUCCCAAGCAGGGUCCUCACUGGUGCGCGGCGAGAGGAAGAGACGGUGGUGUAACUGACUGAGCCACUCAGGCAUCCCCCAUAUUUAUAAUUUUAAAUUUUGUAAUUUUAGUCUUAUUUUCUCCUUUUAAGUGUCUUAGUUUGGACAAUAUAUUAUGUGGUUACCAUAAUUAAUAACCUGGCAUGUUUAGGAGAUGUGAGAUACACAGUGGACUUGUAGCUCGCUUUGCGGUUGCAGGCAAUCUCAAAGUUCCCUCGUGGCCAAGCCGGAUCAAGAUGUAAUCUUCUCGAAAGAUUGCUGUGACAGGCAAGUUAAAUCCUCCAAGAGAGACUGCAUUACGUUGAAGAGCGGGAACACUCAACUCCCAAAGCCGUUCCCUCUACUAUGGAGGGAUUCAGAACAACACGCCUACGGAUGUGUUUUUUGCUUCUUCCGGUGGUCUGAUUGGUCAAUUUCGAAAGAGAGCGUUGGCGUUGUGACCCGCCUCUUGCUUUCCUCUUGGGGCGGAGCUGCCCACAGGAAAUGCGCCCUUAGCUCCGCCCCUCCAGGCUGUGAGGUGGCCGCGCACGGCUCUGCCUCGGCGCCAUCGUCGCCAUCGUCGGUUGGGCCCUGUCUGUGGCAUCGUUGGAGUCUGAAUCUUGAACUUCCUGAGAAGAGCUCCUGGGCUUCAGCGUUCUUACCAGUCCAUCCACUGGCAGGGAUGCCAGUGUCGUUUCUCUUUGUGACUGGGGCAUAAUAAGACUUACUGGAAGCCACUGCACAGUAUUUUGAAAUUGGAUAUAUCUGAAUGCCAGCAAGUGGAAGGAGAGCAAAAGACAUGCCA
Long non-coding RNA from Suricata suricatta (meerkat), 1569 nucleotides. The record is from Ensembl. NCBI's taxonomy places the organism in Eukaryota, Metazoa, Chordata, Mammalia, Carnivora, Herpestidae.